GGAAACUUUGAUUCGGGAUCUGGAGAAACAACGGUGAAGCAAGAAACGGGGGAAUCAGUUCAACAACAAAAUGGGUUCUGUAAUCAAUCAUCUUCAAUGGUUAAUACGAAUUCGGUUAAUUCAGCUGGUGGAGCUCAGAUUGGGAACUCGUAUGGUGUUUUGAAUUCGUCAGAUUUUGAUAACUCGAUGCAAUUGCAGUUGGGUGCGAGGAAUUGUUCUAAUCUUUUUAGGCAAAGUAGCUCUCCUGCUGGAUUUUUCUCCCAUUUGACUGCUGAAAAUGGCAAUACAACGAGGGAGGUUGAAAAGUUCGGGACUUGCAAUAGAAAAGAUGUAGAUUCUGCUUAUCCAUCUACCCGGAUUGGUAAUCAGAUGAACAUAUCUGGCCAUUCUUUUGGCUCAAGCCAUAUGCCUCCAAUUGCAGAAGAGGAGAAUAAAAGCAUAGACGUUUUCUUGGGAUAACUCCGCAAUGAGGGACAUAAAAAGAGGUAGAGAUAACAAUGGUCACGCGUUUUCGAC
RNAcentral lists this unclassified non-coding RNA (516 nucleotides) under Hevea brasiliensis (rubber tree). The record is from RNAcentral. Lineage: Eukaryota; Viridiplantae; Streptophyta; Magnoliopsida; Malpighiales; Euphorbiaceae.